GUUCAGCUGACAAGUUUCAAAGAAGACGAAACGCUUGUCCUGAAU
Non-coding RNA from Schistosoma mattheei, 45 nucleotides. The record is from Rfam. Lineage: Eukaryota; Metazoa; Platyhelminthes; Trematoda; Strigeidida; Schistosomatidae.